RNAcentral lists this ribosomal RNA (625 nucleotides) under uncultured archaeon. RNAcentral describes it as "bacterial SSU rRNA". It matches the Rfam family "Archaeal small subunit ribosomal RNA", at positions 146 to 774 of the family's 1478-position model. The record is from RNAcentral.
AUAAUACUCCAUAGAUUAGAGACACUGGAAUGUUCUGUAGUCGAAAGUUCUGGCGCCUUAGGAUGGAUCUGCGGUCGAUUAGGUUGUUGUUGGGGUAACGGCCCAACAAGCCUGUAAUCGAUACGGGUUGUGGGAGCAAGAGCCCGGAGAUGGAAUCUGAGACACGAUUCCAGGCCCUACGGGGCGCAGCAGGCGCGAAAACUUUACAAUGCAGGAAACUGUGAUAAGGGAACUCCGAGUGCCCGUAUACGCGGGCUGUCCAGGUGUUUAAAAAUCAUCUGAAGAAAGGGCCGGGCAAGACCGGUGCCAGCCGCCGCGGUAAUACCGGCGGCUCGAGUGGUGGCCACUAUUAUUGGGCUUAAAGCGUCCGUAGCUGGACCGAUAAGUCUCUUGGGAAAUCCGCCGGCUCAACCGGCGGGCGUCUAAGGGAUACUGUUAGUCUAGGGACCGGGAGAGGUGAGAGGUACUCCGGGGGUAGGAGUGAAAUCCUGUAAUCCCCGGGGGACCACCGAUGGCGAAGGCAUCUCACCAGAACGGCUCCGACAGUGAGGGACGAAAGCUGGGGGAGCGAACCGGGAUUAGAUACCCGGGGUAGUCCCAGCCGUAAACUAUGCGCGUUAGGUGU